GUGUCAGCCGCCGCGGUAAUACGUAGGGGGCGAGCGUUGUCCGGAAUCAUUGGGCGUAAAGAGCGUGUAGGCGGACUGGAAGGUCUGGUGUGAAAGCCCGGGGCUCAACCCCGGAGGGUCACCGGAAACCGACAGUCUUGAAUCUGGAAGAGGAGAGUGGAAUUCCUGGUGUAGCGGUGGAAUGCGCAGAUAUCAGGAGGAACACCAAUGGCGAAGGCAGCUCUCUGGUACAUGAUUGACGCUGAGACGCGAAAGCGUGGGGAGCGAACAGGAUUAGAUACCCCGGUAGUCC
RNAcentral lists this ribosomal RNA (292 nucleotides) under uncultured bacterium. RNAcentral describes it as "partial 16S ribosomal RNA". It matches the Rfam family "Bacterial small subunit ribosomal RNA", at positions 505 to 796 of the family's 1533-position model. The record is from RNAcentral.